RNAcentral lists this ribosomal RNA (505 nucleotides) under uncultured bacterium. RNAcentral's name for it is "partial 16S ribosomal RNA". It matches the Rfam family "Bacterial small subunit ribosomal RNA", at positions 28 to 507 of the family's 1533-position model. The record is from RNAcentral.
GACGAACGCUGGCGGCGUGCCUAAUACAUGCAAGUAGAACGCACAGUUUAUACCGUAGCUUGCUACACCAUAAACUGUGAGUUGCGAACGGGUGAGUAACGCGUAGGUAACCUGCCUGGUAGCGGGGGAUAACUAUUGGAAACGAUAGCUAAUACCGCAUAAUAUUAAUUAUUGCAUGAUAAUUGAUUGAAAGAUGCAAUUGCAUCACUACCAGAUGGACCUGCGUUGUAUUAGCUAGUAGGUGAGGUAACGGCUCACCUAGGCGACGAUACAUAGCCGACCUGAGAGGGUGAUCGGCCACACUGGGACUGAGACACGGCCCAGACUCCUACGGGAGGCAGCAGUAGGGAAUCUUCGGCAAUGGACGAAAGUCUGACCGAGCAACGCCGCGUGAGUGAAGAAGGGUUUCGGAUCGUAAAGCUCUGCUGUAAGAGAAGAACGGGUGUGAGAGUGGAAAGUUCACACUGUGACGGUAUCUUACCAGAAAGGGACGGCUAACUACGUG